RNAcentral lists this ribosomal RNA (173 nucleotides) under uncultured bacterium. RNAcentral describes it as "partial 16S ribosomal RNA". It matches the Rfam family "Bacterial small subunit ribosomal RNA", at positions 335 to 524 of the family's 1533-position model. The record is from RNAcentral.
ACUCCUACGGGAGGCAGCAGUAGGGAAUAUUGCAUAAUGGGCGAAAGCCUGAUGCAGCAACGCCGCGUGCGCGAUGAAGGCCUUCGGGUUGUAAAGCGCUUUUGGCUGGGAAGAGGAGGGACGGUACCAGCAGAAUAAGCCUCGGCUAACUACGUGCCAGCAGCCGCGGUAAU